UGCUGGAGGUAUCAGAAGUGCGAAUGCUGACAUAAGUAACGAUAAUGCGGGUGAAAAACCCGCACGCCGGAAGACCAAGGGUUCCUGUCCAACGUUAAUCGGGGCAGGGUGAGUCGACCCCUAAGGCGAGGCCGAAAGGCGUAGUCGAUGGGAAACAGGUUAAUAUUCCUGUACUCGGUGUUACUGCGAAGGGGGGACGGAGAAGGCUAUGUUGGCCGGGCGACGGUUGUCCCGGUUUAAGCAUGUAGGCGGAUGUUCCAGGUAAAUCCGGAACGUCACUAACGCUGAGGUGUGAUGACGAGGCACUACGGUGCUGAAGUGACAAAUGCCCUGCUUCCAGGAAAAGCCUCUAAGCAUCAGGUAACAUCAAAUCGUACCCCAAACCGACACAGGUGGUCAGGUAGAGAAUACCAAGGCGCUUGAGAGAACUCGGGUGAAGGAACUAGGCAAAAUGGUGCCGUAACUUCGGGAGAAGGCACGCUGAUGGUAGGUGAAGUGACUUGCUCAUGGAGCUGAAAUCAGUCGAAGAUACCAGCUGGCUGCAACUGUUUAU
This 553-nucleotide ribosomal RNA is filed under the name Proteus sp. HMSC10D02. RNAcentral's name for it is "bacterial LSU rRNA". It matches the Rfam family "Bacterial large subunit ribosomal RNA", at positions 1271 to 1807 of the family's 2925-position model. The record is from RNAcentral. Lineage: Bacteria; Pseudomonadati; Pseudomonadota; Gammaproteobacteria; Enterobacterales; Morganellaceae.